RNAcentral lists this ribosomal RNA (571 nucleotides) under uncultured bacterium. RNAcentral's name for it is "partial 16S ribosomal RNA". It matches the Rfam family "Bacterial small subunit ribosomal RNA", at positions 355 to 914 of the family's 1533-position model. The record is from RNAcentral.
UGGGGAAUUUUGGACAAUGGGGGCAACCCUGAUCCAGCAAUGCCGCGUGUGUGAAGAAGGCCUUCGGGUUGUAAAGCACUUUUGUCCGGGAAGAAAUCCCCUGCCCUAAUACGGCGGGGGGAUGACGGUACCGGAAGAAUAAGCACCGGCUAACUACGUGCCAGCAGCCGCGGUAAUACGUAGGGUGCGAGCGUUAAUCGAGNNUACUGGGCGUAAAGCGUGCGCAGGCGGUGAUGUAAGACCGAUGUGAAAUCCCCGGGCUCAACCUGGGAACUGCAUUGGUGACUGCAUUGCUCGAGUAUGGCAGAGGGGGGUGGAAUUCCACGUGUAGCAGUGAAAUGCGUAGAGAUGUGGAGGAACACCGAUGGCGAAGGCAGCCCCCUGGGCCAAUACUGACGCUCAUGCACGAAAGCGUGGGGACGCAAACAGGAUUAGCAUACCCCUGGUAGUCCACGCCCUAAAGCGAUGUCAACUGGUUGUCGGGCCUUCAUUGGCUUGGUAACGUAGCUAACGCGUGAAGUUGACCGCCUGGGGAGUACGGUCGCAAGAUUAAAAGCUCAAAUGAAUUGAC